Molecule: long non-coding RNA, 433 nt
Organism: Fukomys damarensis (Damara mole-rat)
Lineage: Eukaryota; Metazoa; Chordata; Mammalia; Rodentia; Bathyergidae
Exons: 2
Source: RefSeq, a predicted model, not a curated record
UCCCCAUAGCACCAAAUCGAGUGCCAAAUUUUCAGCGUCAAUCUCCACUCAACUCUCUCUCAAAGAGGCUGGCAGUACAUGCUGGUUGCGUCAGGGACAGUCUCGGAGGCCAGGUUGGGCUUGGCAGGGCCAGGCUGGGAGGCCAGGCUGGGAGCAUCAGGGCCAGGCGGGCAGUAUACCCUAGUCGCAGCAGGGACAGUCUCAGACGCCAGGCUGGGAGAAGCAGUCAGGCUGCGGUGUCAGCUGGGCAGCGGAAGGGCCAGGCUGUGAGGACAGCUGGGGAGCUGCAGGGCCAGGCUGGGGGGACAGGCAGAGAAAGGUAGUGUCAGACUGGGAAGACACGCUGGGAAAGGCAGGGACAGACUGGGACGACAGGCUGGGAAAGGUAGUGUCAGACUGGGAAGACACGCUGGGACAGGCAGGAACAGACUGG